Molecule: long non-coding RNA, 2328 nt
Organism: Carassius auratus (goldfish)
Lineage: Eukaryota; Metazoa; Chordata; Actinopteri; Cypriniformes; Cyprinidae
Exons: 2
Source: RefSeq, a predicted model, not a curated record
UAAUUAAUUUUAAUAUCAGCUUGCAUGCCCAUUUAAUUCUCUAGUCAUAUUGACACUAUCUGAAAAGAAAAUCAAAACUUGCCAGUAUCUAUCCAGUUGAUUUAAUGGAUCUUUCUCUUUCCUUUCUAGGCUCAGAUGCUGAAGACCAACAACACAAUAGAUGUGUUAUGUGUGGACCCACAGAUCAAUGACCCCAGCUCCUCCAAUGCCAUCUCCGGGAAUUCGUCCACUUGGGAGACGUCUCUAUCAGGCCUUAGCUCUCUGCUGCUCCUGUUGGCUACCUCCUUGUACUGCAUCUUCACAGCAGCAAUGCUGUAGCCACCUAACAACAUAAAACAUGGACAGUCACAAUUUGUACAAAGUCGAUCGCUGUCCCUGGUCAAUCUGUUGUAUUUGGGUACUCUCUCUUUCUCUUUCUUAGUCCCUCUCUUCCUCUCUCUUGCUGUUCUGUUUUUAAGAGCUUUUGUUGGUGUUGUUAAUGCAACAAAACAAAGUGGUCUUGGUGUACUCAAGUUUCUGUCUCUUCCCUCCUGAUUUUGCAUCGGAAGAUGAAACAUGAAAGAAAAGCGAGAGAACCUCGGAAUCAUUGCAGCAUUGUCAUGUGAUGUUGUGCUGUCUAAAGUCUGGAGGGCCAGAAAUCAUAAGGACUCCUGUAACAGCGUAGAGAGCAUAGAAUCUUAUCUGUGCAUAUGUGCACUACCCAUUGCUCACUGGUACACAAAGACACAGCAAAAUUGAGACCGAAACACUAUAGAACAUAAUUCCUGAGAUGUGCCACUGACCCAUCUAUAGGUCAAACAAUCAAACAUAUCGAAAGACAUUUACAAAACAUCUAGUUGUAGAAAGUGAGAGUUUAGAGAGAUCAAGAGUUUUUGGAUGACCAACAGGACCACUUGUCUGAAAAUACACGACGGAGCUUAUUUGACAAUUUUACUCUUGUUUGUCAUGGUUUGUUUGCGUGUGGCUAUAUAUGUGAAUACGUCAUGUUGUUUGUACAUCUGUUUGUUUGAAUGAAAUGAGUUCAUGGUUUUGCUGGAUGGAUAUGUCAAUAGAUCUGGGGUUUCGUAACUCCUGUGUCAACAGUUUACAGGAGAAACAUGGACUGAGGCCAGUCAGCAGCAUUGAUUCUUGUGUAAUCAGACAAAGUGUCAAUGUUCUAUGUUACAAUUACAUAUAUACGGAUCUUUAAAUUGCACAUCACCAUUCACCAGACUAAACCAACAGAAAUCCGCAUAACUAACAAAUUAUAAUGCCUUUUUUUGAUAUUGCUUUGACAUGGAUUUUCAUACUUCAACCCAAACGAAUCAUGCAAACUAGUCAUGUGUGUUAUAAACUGUAGCCAGUUUUUUUUUUUUUUUUUUUGUUCUGUAUAUCUAUACAAAAGUUACUGAAAGAGUCAGUAGCAGUGAUCCUUCAACACAAUUAUUUAAAAAUCAUUGAGAAUUAUAAAAAAAAAAAAAACAUACCCAGAAGUCUUAUAUAUGUCAGUAUGAGGCAUGUGCAGUUUAAUCACCUCAGCAUAACAAGUUAAAAGAGUCUGUGACAUGCUGCUUUGGUUCAUGUGGCAUUUUCAACAAAAAUUAUGUAUUGUUGUAUUCCACAUUAUUCAUAUGACAUUUUAAGUGCUACAUAAGAAAACACACAAACAUAUAUGUACUUCUACAUGAACUAUAUUUGUAGAGCCUACUAUAUUUGAAUAGGGAUCUGGUUAUAUGAUAUAUGAUCAUAUUGGAUGAUGAUGUAUGGCUUUUCUCAGUAACUUUAUAUACAGCGUAUAUUUUUGUUUAGAGAUUACAGUACAAAUUGAAGACUUGCAUCUGUCCUGUCCUACAUCACAAAUGAAGGAAAUGUACAACAGUCAUUUAUUUACUAUAACACCAUGUUAUUGUUUUAUUAUAAGCCAAUAAGCAAGAAAAAAAUAUCUUAUUUUUAUAUCUUUUCGCAUUAUGAGUUUAUUUAUUGUCAUAUUGUCUUUUCUGCUAGUAAGCAGUACAGGAACUUGAGGAAAAAAAAAAAAACAUGCAUGAGUGAUGGAAAUGCAAUAAUGGCUAUUGGAUGCAGUGUGUUAUAAAGUUUACACAGGCAUUCGGUGGUGGUCUGCUGCAUUUGGCUUUGGUUGCAACAUGAAGUUGCUGUGAAUGUGCUUUAGAUAAGAGCUGGACAGUAAGAUCCCCACAUUGUAAAAAACUAUAUUUCUCUACAUCCACAUCUUAUUGCUCCAGAGAAUUUACAAAUGAAACAAAAGACUCUUCCACAAUGUCACAUUUCUUCUUAGCUUGUGAAAAUGUAAAAAGUAUUCUAUGAAAACGAUUAAAAAUGUUGACUCAU